RNAcentral lists this ribosomal RNA (549 nucleotides) under Triticum aestivum (bread wheat). Its description in RNAcentral is "partial small subunit ribosomal RNA". Lineage: Eukaryota; Viridiplantae; Streptophyta; Magnoliopsida; Poales; Poaceae. The record is from RNAcentral.
AUGAAUGAUAUUGCAAGCCCGGGCCCUGACGGUUUUGGCCCCGCCUUCUAUAAGAAGAAUUGGGACCUCGUCAAACCGGAUCUUUUGAACCUUCUCUAUGAUUUCCAUUGCGGCAACGCCGAUCUCAAGAGGAUUAACAAAGCUUUCAUUGUGUUUCUUCCCAAGAAGAUUGGCUCCGAUGACCCUGCAAACUUUCGCCAAAUCUCCCUUCAAAAUUGCUCUGUUAAGCUUGCUUCUAAAUGCCUCACGAACAGGGCCCAGACUAUUUUCCCGCACCUCAUCCAUCACGACCAGACUGGGUUUAUCCGUGGCCGUGGCAUCGCCCAAAAUUUCAUCUAUGCGGCCAACAUUGUUCAGUCCUGUCACAAGAGAAAAAUUCCGGCCAUAGUCCUUAAGUUAGACUUCCACAAAGCUUUCGACUCAGUGUCUUGGUAUGCCCUCUCCUCAAUCUUACGCGCCAAAGGGUUCCCCCCCAAGUGGUGCCAAUGGAUCCAAAGUCUUAACUCUUCCAGCAGCUCCUCCAUUCUGCUUAAUGGCAAACCUGGGCCU